AUGAUUGGGAAUAGAGGAAAGUGCCACGGACUUCUAAUCCGCAGGUCGUAGGUUCGAAUCCUACCGGGCGUG
This 72-nucleotide transfer RNA is filed under the name Planctomycetaceae bacterium. Its description in RNAcentral is "tRNA-Arg". The stretch from base 8 to 64 matches the Rfam family "tRNA", at positions 9 to 63 of the family's 71-position model. From Rfam's summary of the family: Transfer RNA (tRNA) molecules are approximately 80 nucleotides in length. Their secondary structure includes four short double-helical elements and three loops (D, anti-codon, and T loops). Lineage: Bacteria; Pseudomonadati; Planctomycetota; Planctomycetia; Planctomycetales; Planctomycetaceae. The record is from RNAcentral.